CCUCUGCUGACAUUUCUUGACAACAGGCGGAGCUACCGCUGUCAAGAAGUGUCAAUCCCCCAGCUAUUACCAGUGACUGCUACAAGGAAAUUUUUGUGGGAUCCUCCAUAGGCCUCUCUCAAUAUCAGCAGUGAUAUCGGCUCCUGGCAGAUGUAGUGCUAGGGGUAGAAAAGGACAGCAUCCACGACAGGUUCAGGUAAGUAUAAUUCACCUUUUUAUGCCACCCCUGGCCACC
Pelobates cultripes (western spadefoot toad) is the source of this 235-nucleotide non-coding RNA. The record is from the annotation of a GenBank genome assembly. Lineage: Eukaryota; Metazoa; Chordata; Amphibia; Anura; Pelobatidae.